RNAcentral lists this non-coding RNA (24 nucleotides) under Thalassiosira minuscula. The record is from RNAcentral. Lineage: Eukaryota; Bacillariophyta; Thalassiosirophyceae; Thalassiosirales; Thalassiosiraceae.
GGUCGCGCUGAUCGACGGCAAGUU